ACGUCUCGGCGUCAUGGCGCUGAGAGGAAAGACUGGCCAAUUCUUGAAAGCUAGCACUCCUAGAGGGGUCCGCGCUCGAUUAGCUUGUUGGUGGGGUAAAGGCUCACCAAGGCGACGAUCUAUAGCUGGUCUGAGAGGACGAUCAGCCACACUGGAACUGAGACACGGUCCAG
Molecule: ribosomal RNA, 173 nt
Filed under: uncultured bacterium
Lineage: Bacteria
Description: partial 16S ribosomal RNA
Rfam family: Bacterial small subunit ribosomal RNA
Source: RNAcentral